UUCUUAUUGAAUGAUGACUAUUACGUGUCAUGUUCUGAUCGACCAAUGACAACAACAAUAAUUCGACAUCCAAUCAGAACAUGACACGUGACAGUCAUCAUUU
Molecule: non-coding RNA, 103 nt
Organism: Glycine max (soybean)
Lineage: Eukaryota; Viridiplantae; Streptophyta; Magnoliopsida; Fabales; Fabaceae
Source: Rfam